GAUGAACGCUGGCGGCGUGCUUAACACAUGCAAGUCGAACGGAAAGGCCCAAGCUUGCUUGGGUACUCGAGUGGCGAACGGGUGAGUAACACGUGGGUGAUCUGCCCUGCACUUCGGGAUAAGCCUGGGAAACUGGGUCUAAUACCGGAUAGGACCACAUUUUGGAUGGUGUGGUGGAAAGUUUUUCGGUGUGGGAUGAGCUCGCGGCCUAUCAGCUUGUUGGUGGGGUAAUGGCCUACCAAGGCGUCGACGGGUAGCCGGCCUGAGAGGGUGUACGGCCACAUUGGGACUGAGAUACGGCCCAGACUCCUACGGGAGGCAGCAGUGGGGAAUAUUGCAUAAUGGGCGCAAGCCUGAUGCAGCGACGCCGCGUGGGGGAUGACGGCCUUCGGGUUGUAAACUCCUUUCGCUAGGGACGAAGCGCAAGUGACGGUACCUGGAGAAGAAGCACCGGCUAACUACGUG
RNAcentral lists this ribosomal RNA (465 nucleotides) under uncultured bacterium. RNAcentral's name for it is "partial 16S ribosomal RNA". It matches the Rfam family "Bacterial small subunit ribosomal RNA", at positions 28 to 507 of the family's 1533-position model. The record is from RNAcentral.